Molecule: ribosomal RNA, 235 nt
Filed under: uncultured bacterium
Lineage: Bacteria
Description: partial 16S ribosomal RNA
Rfam family: Bacterial small subunit ribosomal RNA
Source: RNAcentral
GAUCCUGGCUCAGAUUGAACGCUGGCGGCAGGCCUAACACAUGCAAGUCGAACGGUAACAGGAAUCAGCUUGCUGAUUUGCUGACGAGUGGCGGACGGGUGAGUAAUGUCUGGGAAACUGCCUGAUGGAGGGGGAUAACUACUGGAAACGGUAGCUAAUACCGCAUAACGUCGCAAGACCAAAGAGGGGGGACCUUCGGGCCUCUUGCCAUCGGAGUGUGCCCAGAUGGGAUUAG